Phrynosoma platyrhinos (Desert horned lizard) is the source of this 72-nucleotide non-coding RNA. NCBI's taxonomy places the organism in Eukaryota, Metazoa, Chordata, Lepidosauria, Squamata, Phrynosomatidae. The record is from the annotation of a GenBank genome assembly.
GCCAGUGUGGUAUAGUGGUUUGAGCACUAGACUACAACUAUGGAAACUUGGGUUCAAAUCCCUACUUGGCCA